RNA transcript from Fragaria vesca subsp. vesca, 883 nucleotides. RefSeq lists it as uncharacterized. The transcript is spliced from 2 exons. Lineage: Eukaryota; Viridiplantae; Streptophyta; Magnoliopsida; Rosales; Rosaceae. The record is from RefSeq and is a predicted model, not a curated record.
AAUCUAGAGUAAUACACGUUGCCUAAUCCUCUCCCUCCAGGUGUCCCUCAUCGAUUUCUCUCGAGCAUACCAGUCAGUCUUUCUUUCUCUUCUCUUUUCUAUUCUUCCUCUUUCCCGCAAAGAAAUUGGUGUUCCUUCCCUCACUCAAAGGCUGUGUUUGAACAAUAGCUCUCAAAGGAUUUCUUUGAUUCCCCUUGUCUAAGAGUCUCUGAAGUUCUCCAAUUGAAAUAGGCACAGCUUUAUGGCUGCAAGUGGCUGGAUUGCGAUAGUAGAUUGGGUGUUUGCCUUUGAGCUCGGAUUGCUUCGGCGAUGAUGUAAAGUGGAUUUGCUGUCGUUUGAAUUGGGUGAUGGUAUUUGGAGUUUGCUCGAGUUAUCUCUUGAAGUUUUGGCUGCUGAUUGCUUGGACUUGAGGUAGUCCAGAAGUGGACAAGUUAAUGAUAUUGAUGUCUUCUUGAGCUGAAGUUUUGGUAUUAUUCUGUGAUGGUGUUGGCUGUGCUUCACUUGUGUCCGAGUGCUUGUGUUCUCUUGGACUGCAUUGCGUUGUUAUAAUUAAAUGGAGUAUGUUGUUGAUGUUACCUUGUUUUAAAAGGGUUAGAAUUUCUAUGUAGCUUUGAGAUAGUAACCUGGUAAAGAUUUGAUACCAAAUGUGAUGGUUCUUCUAAAAAGUAUUUUCCAUGUACGUACAAAAUGUAGAGUCGUAUCCAGCAUUCCUCUUAUCAGAUUUAAUUAUUCCUGUGUACUUUUGAAAGGAUUCUACAUUUAUCCAUUGCUACUGUACAGUGUUACAAACUUUGAAAGAGUGUAGUUGUAUUUCUUGGGAUGUUUAUUGCUCAAGUUCAUGUUCAAUGUUGUUAUUAGAGAGAUUCCUCAGGCAAAUAUUUUG